This is a non-coding RNA of Caenorhabditis elegans, 149 nucleotides long. The record is from Ensembl. NCBI's taxonomy places the organism in Eukaryota, Metazoa, Nematoda, Chromadorea, Rhabditida, Rhabditidae.
UGUCUCCUUUCUCAUUUUUUGCUGCACCCCCCGUACUCACAAUUUUUUUGAAGGAAAACGUUUGUGAGUAAAACGUGGAGGUGUGCUAGUCAGUUCACUGGGGACCUGAAACCAACCGAACACCACUAUGCUUGAAGCUGUUUGUCAGC